Molecule: ribosomal RNA, 254 nt
Filed under: uncultured bacterium
Lineage: Bacteria
Description: partial 16S ribosomal RNA
Rfam family: Bacterial small subunit ribosomal RNA
Source: RNAcentral
UACGGGGGGGGCAAGCGUUGUUCGGAAUUACUGGGCGUAAAGGGCUCGUAGGCGGCCAACUAAGUCGGACGUGAAAUCCCCAGGCUCAACCUGGGAACUGCGUCCGAUACUGGAUGGCUUGAAUUCGGGAGAGGGAUGCAGAAUUCCAGGUGUAGCGGUGAAAUGCGUAGAUAUCUGGAGGAAUACCGGUGGCGAAGGCGGCAUCCUGGACCGGCAUUGACGCUGAGUGAGCGAAAGCUAGGGGAGCAAACGGG